UACGUAGGGUGCGAGCGUUGUCCGGAAUUACUGGGCGUAAAGAGUUCGUAGGCGGUUUGUCGCGUCUGCCGUGAAAGUCCGGGGCUCAACUCCGGAUCUGCGGUGGGUACGGGCAGACUAGAGUGAUGUAGGGGAGACUGGAAUUCCUGGUGUAGCGGUGAAAUGCGCAGAUAUCAGGAGGAACACCGAUGGCGAAGGCAGGUCUCUGGGCAUUAACUGACGCUGAGGAGCGAAAGCAUGGGGAGCGAACAGG
RNAcentral lists this ribosomal RNA (253 nucleotides) under uncultured bacterium. RNAcentral describes it as "partial 16S ribosomal RNA". It matches the Rfam family "Bacterial small subunit ribosomal RNA", at positions 524 to 776 of the family's 1533-position model. The record is from RNAcentral.